GGGAGCACAGCUACUCGUAUACCCUUGACCGAAGAAUGGUCCUCCUCUAUUGGGGAUGGUCGUCCUCUUUGACCAAGCACGCAGCUUCGAGAGGGACACACAUGGAGUGGCGAGGGAGGAAGGGGACACCUACCUAGUCAAAGAAGAUGUGGUCUAUGUCUACAAUGGAAUAUUCCUCAGCCAUCAAAAACAACGAAUACACACCAUUUGCUUCAACGUGGAUGGACCUGGAGGGUAUUAUGCUGAGUGAAAAAGAAUGGCCAAAGGCUAUAGGCUCUGAGGCUCUAGCUACCCUAAGAUCGAGGAGAGCAAUAUCUUGGCCUUCCAGUAACACCUGUGUGCACUGGCCAGACUAGUUGACAAGCUCUGCAACUUGCCCAAAGGCCCAUGAAGAUCUGCAUACAGGGACACCUGAGUGGGUCAGUGUUUGGGCGCCUGCCUUCGGCCCACGGCAUAAUCCGGGAGUCCUGGGAUCGAGUCUUGCGUUGGCUCCCUGCGUGGAACCUGC
Molecule: long non-coding RNA, 508 nt
Organism: Nyctereutes procyonoides (raccoon dog)
Lineage: Eukaryota; Metazoa; Chordata; Mammalia; Carnivora; Canidae
Exons: 3
Source: RefSeq, a predicted model, not a curated record